CGUCAUGAACGGGGAGGAAUGUCCGGGGUGCAAAUAGAACGUGUGUCUCAUUUCAGAAGAAAUGAGGCGACGUUGCGGAGGUCCAGGCGGUUGGCCCGGUGGAGGUCCUGGAGGAGACGGUCCCGGCGGUGGAGGUCCAGGCGGAGGUCCAGGCGGUCCUGGAGGAGACGGUCCCGGCGGUGGAGCUCCAGGCGGUCGGCCCGGUGGAGGUCCUGGAGGAGACGGUCCCGGCGGACCGCCAGGACCUCCAGGUCCAGGCGGUUGGCCCGGUGGAGGUCCUGGAGGAGACGGUCCCGGCGGUGGAGGUCCAGGCGGUUGGCCCGGUGGAGGUCCUGGAGGAGACGGUCCCGGCGGUGGAGGUCCAGGCGGUCGGCCCGGUGGAGGUCCUGGAGGAGACGGUCCCGGCGGUGGAGGUCCUGGCGGUCGGCCCGGUGGAGGUCCUGGCGGUCGGCCCGGUGGAGGUCCUGGAGGAGGCUGGGGGAUCCGGCGGUGUUUAGCUCCUCAUCCAUGGAAGCAGGGUUGAAGGAGUCACUGGGGAUGAAGAUCACUGCUCAGGGGCUGACGCCCCCCCCCCCCUCAUCUUUCCGGAGAAGCGUCCUCAUGGUGCAGGCGGUCAAGCAGCUGGAUGACUGA
RNAcentral lists this long non-coding RNA (633 nucleotides) under Gadus morhua (Atlantic cod). RNAcentral's name for it is "lncRNA (ENSGMOG00000031733.1)". Lineage: Eukaryota; Metazoa; Chordata; Actinopteri; Gadiformes; Gadidae. The record is from RNAcentral.